Molecule: ribosomal RNA, 251 nt
Filed under: uncultured prokaryote
Description: partial 16S rRNA
Rfam family: Bacterial small subunit ribosomal RNA
Source: RNAcentral
ACGGGGGGUGCAAGCGUUAAUCGGAAUUACUGGGCGUAAAGGGUAUGUAGGUGGUUAAGUAAGUUAGAUGUGAAAUCCCUGAGCUCAACCUGGGAAGGGCAUAUAAAACUGCUAAACUAGAGUAUGGGAGAGGGUAGUGGAAUUUCAGGUGUAGCGGUGAAAUGCAUAGAGAUCGGAAGGAACACCAGUUGCGAAGGCGAUCACCUGGCCCAAUACUCACACUGAGGCGCGAAAGUGUUGGGAGCAAACAG